Non-coding RNA from Rattus norvegicus (Norway rat), 6609 nucleotides. The record is from RefSeq and is a predicted model, not a curated record. NCBI's taxonomy places the organism in Eukaryota, Metazoa, Chordata, Mammalia, Rodentia, Muridae.
ACAUUAAAAUUUAUUUUAAAAAAGAAAGACCACCUUAUUCCCACCAUAUGCUCUUUCUCUACUAAUUCCCUCUCUCCUGAAAAGGUAGUCAGGAGAGAUGGAGAACAGCUCAUUUGAUAACUGCAGGUCUGAAACGCAAAAAUUCAACAGCCACAAAACAAAAGUCAUGUGCACCUGGCCCAUAAUAAACAUCUGUAAGAGGAAAUGCAGCUAUAAUGGUAUUAAAAGAUCUGUCAAAACCAACAGCAGGAUUAAGUCAAAAAAGUCAAUAGUGAUGACCACAGGGACACACACUGAACAACCGAAAUAUCUUAGAAAAUGAUGUAGACAGAAAAAGCCAGGUUUGGAAAACUAUGAAACUACACCAUACACACCUAUGCACAUGUACACGUUCUCUGUCUGUCUGUCUGUCUGUCUGUCUGUCUGUCUCUCUCUCUCUCUCUCACACACACACACACACACACACACACACACACACACCCCUCUCUAGCAGAUUUGGUGCAGGCACAGAGAUGACCCCUUUGCUUUCUUCCCUGACUGAUAGCUGGUACAAGGGCCAUCACUUCCACUCUCACAGAGAUCUACAGUGGAAACAGGGUUAACUCUUGAUAAAUUUGUUCAACUUGUUGGAACUUGUCUAUGAUCUUUUUAAAAGAAUCAUUACUGUUUUGAAUCAUGCUAAACAAAACUUUUCCAAAACGGGGGAAAGGCUUUUCUGGAACAGUCAUAUUGUUAGUAGCUGCAAUUAAUUUCUCUCCUAUUUGCUGGGAGCUAAUGGGUACAGCAGUUGAAUUCAUCGCGGCCGUUGAGUUUAUCAGGAUCAUGAUGGUGUGAGACGUUUCCGUCUCCGAACUUUCAGUUCCUGAGACAUCUAAAGGUACAUGACCAUCUUCCCACACUGCUAUGUUCUUAAAAUCAGAUAUUGUUGACAGGCUUAAAGUUGCUAAGAUCACCAAGGCUAGAACACAGAAGGCACCUCCACCGCAAGCAUAGACCCUAGUCGUUAUCUUUUUGCAGGGAGACGGCCAGGAACUCCAGGAGGCCUCUGUUCUGGACAGAAACGAACCACAAGAGCUUCAGGUCACACAGACUCUACUGGAGUGGGUGUGGCACAGAUGGAGUAUAACGCCCCACAGAAAUGACCACCAACACACGGCCCAACAGCAAGACAGCAAGUGGCAUGAGCCUGGGCAUGAACGUUUAUUGAGCACCCACUGGAUGCUCUGCUGGAUGUCUAAUUAGCACUAGCUCAUCCACUCCUCACAACUGACCUGUAAGACAGGAAAUACCCAUGAUGCACACAGACAGGAUCUGCACAGGAGCACAGGGCUAGCUCAUGGCAGAGCAAAGAUAGGAAUUCAACCCAAGCUCAGGCCUCCAGCUGUUUACACUCCAGCUGUUUACACUCCAGCACACACCUGCAAGACGGAUUCCAGCCCCCAUGAUGAUCAUCCACAUAAUCUUAAAUGACUUUAAUUCUUCUGGUCGGACCUGCCUGCCUCCUGAGAUUACGGUGAGGAUCCAAGAAGAAAACCAUGAACACUUGGCUAUUUUCCAAGACCCUGCACAUGACAAUUCUAACGAGAUGUGUGUGCAGGGUCCUGGACCUACUGCUCCAGAUUUCUUCACUUAAUUCUCAUGACAGUCUGUCAGGUUGGAAUGACGUCUCCCUGUGGAGAGGAAGAAGUGAGACUCAGUUGGAAUAACUUGCUUCAAAGUCACACUGCAGAGAGCAGAAGGCCGACCAUGUGGAGCCAGGCUUCAGAGCUCCAUCGAUUCCCACUGACUUCUGCUGUGUCACUGUUUUCCUCCUCUGGAGCCACAGGGCAUAGACCGGUUAGUGUCCCCUGAGGUGUCACCACCAUGGGUAGACAGGCAUGCCCCUGCAGUAGCUGGUAUCACUUUGAUGGUCCACCGAGAGCACUUACUGCUUGUCCACAGCGUGCCACUCCUGAGUCAGGUUCUCAGUUCCAGGGAUAGCGUGUCCUUCUGGGAAUUCAAAGGCUCACGGUGUACUGUGAACGCUAAGUCCAUAUGCAUAAACAUAGGCUCACGGUGUACUGUGAACGCUAAGUCCAUAUGCAUAAACAUUUACUCGUUCCAUUCUCUGGGUUCUGCAGUAGGCUCUGAGGACACAAAGAUGGACAAAUGACAGGCUCCAGAGUGAACAGGUGAUCUUAGCAAGGCACCUGACCCGUGUGACAGAGUGUAAAUGAUCAGAAAGAACACCCAAAGGAGGGGAUAACGGGGAACCACCACACCAUCUGCACGUUACUGAGUUUACAUACGUUGUCUUUACCCCACAGGAAGAAUCCUACUGAGUGAAUAUUAUUUUCUUGAUUUAAAUAACUUGUAUCAAAGGGCAGAUUCUGACCUGAAACUCUCCCCAAGGUUCUCUGACUUCAAAGAUUUUGUAAUGUGUGGGUCGCCUCUGAAAACAAUAAACUCCAGCUACAAUGGAAUGAAAAGACACCAUCAUUAUAUUAGGUUUUGUCACUUUGACCAAAUACCUGAGGCUUUGGUCCAGGGUAAGGUAGCCUGGCUUCGUUAGGCAACGCGUGGGGGUCAUGUGGUGGAGUAAAAGUAGUCUUUGAGAUGGCUGAGAAGAGAGAGGAAGGGGCUUGGAGCUCAAUUCUCCACAGGCUAAUGCCACAGACUCACCUCCUUGAACUAGGAAGGUGCCAAAGCCCUUCCUAGUGACAUCAUCUGGGGACCAAGUCUUCAGUACUUUGCAGGGCCGUUCAAGAUGCAAACUGCAUGGACUAGAGUGGCUCAGUGGCUGCUCUUCCAGACUCGUUUCCACUUCCCGACACCCACUUGGUGGCUCACAACCUUCUGUAACUUAAAUUCCAGGGACUCCAACACCCUCUUCUGGUUUCAAAAGGUCAGCAGGCAUGCAAACGAUGCGCGGACAAACACGCAAUCUAAAUACCCAUUUACAUAAAACAAAACAAAUUUUAAAGAUCCAAACUGUAACAGUCGUGAAGGAAUAGAACAGGAGAGCAAGUGUCUUUGUUGGGGCAGAAAUCUCGGCUCGCGACUGGACAAACCACACCAGGCCAACAUGGUUGCCAAGUGGAGAGGGUUAAUGAGAGAAGGGUAGAAGAGGAGUAAAGGUCGGCCAUGAGCACGUGGAGGGAAGGGGAUUGGGGAAGGGGGAGAGGGCAAGAGCAAGAGAGCAAGAGAGUGAGGAGGGGACAAGCAGUGUCAGGCACAGUUGUCUGUUGCCAGGUAACUGUGGGGCGGAGCAUACCCAGCUGUUGCCAGGUAACUGUGGGGGUGGAGCUUAGACAGAAUGCUAACAGUCUUGGCUGUGUGGAAGGCACCAUGGAGGAGGCAUGGCUUGAGUGAGGUUGGGCAGGGCGAGUCACAGGCCCGCCACGGGUUCUUUCGUUAUUCUAGUUAGUUUCCUGGAUUAUGCUCAAGGGAGACUAUCCUCCAGGGACGUGGCUCUUUUCCUGGAAGCUCAGGCAUGGAACUACUGUUUGUUGGGAGACAGGAUGAAGAUAAGCCACUGGAUUGUAGGAAACAAACACAGUCAUUCUGGCUUAAACAACCAGCCAACCGAAACAAGGAGGUAUUCAGACACUUUGUGGGACCUAUGAGGUAGCAUGUGCUGUGCACCCCGACCCCCAAGAGAGAUGACUGUGAGCAGGCUGUGACCACUGACCAGGGCCAGCCCCUCUUCCUUGCCUGUUUCUCUACAAAUGGCCUGCAGACUUGCUUUGACCCUCUCUCUGCAGUAGACAAAAGCAUCUCCAAACAGAAGACUUUUUUUUUUUUAAAUUGGAGAGGGAGAGUGCCCAGAUCUAAAUUCUCUGAUCUGUCAUUUCUAAAGUGCCCAGAAAGGAGAAUCUGACUUGUUCCUCCAUGAGCAUCUGAGCUGUGGUCAGGGAAUCUGUUCUCAGAGAGGCAAAUAUUCAAGGGGGUAGACCCCAGAGGCCCCGUGAACUGUUCUGCAAAGGGAGGUGGCCGUCGGUGGUUCUGGUGAGCUGGGGCUGAGAGUGCUCCCUUGUUCCCUUCUCCCUCUGCUGCCCUUUCGAUGAUACACACCAGCAUCUACGUUUCAUUCUUCUGUGCAGUUAUUAAAUCCAUAAAUAAAGACUUAAUCUCCGAAGCUCUGCCUUGUGAGUCUAGGCAUUAAAGAGGGGGAGGAGAGAUGCCGCCGCAGUUAGAACAUUGGCUGCUCUCGGCGAGGACCUGGAUUCAAUUCCCAGCACCCGCAUGACCUCACAACCAUCUGUAGCUGCAGUUUCAGAGGUCCAACACCCUCUUCUGGACUCUGGGCACCAGGCAUGCUCUGUAUACACCCAGUAGGCACCAAGGAGGCAAGCACAGUGAAAACAAAAAGGAGAGCUUUAAAUGGUGAGGCAGAAAAUUUGGGCCCUGGAGUGGGAUGAGAAGGUCCUCCCAGCCCUGACUCCUGAUGGCAGAGCACAGCUGGACCAAUAGUCAAAAGUACAGUGUCUCCAGAGCUGGAACCCUUCCUGACUUCUCCUGGACUCUGACAAACAAAGACAUCACAAGCACACACCUGUUCGAAGGACCCAGGCUGUAGCAAACGGGUGAGAUAUUAAAGAUAAAUCCAUGCACUUCUUCCCACACUGACACUGUUUACAGACACCACCUGAGCUAGCCUCAUUAGGGGCAUCAAAAAGCCACCCCUAUAUCAACCAAACUCCAUAGACCCAGGUCCACCCUCUAGGCACACAGCCCACUGGGAAGGAGACAAGUGCUACUGCCAUGUCAACAUAUACACGCAGUUGCAUAUGGUCACACAACACACACAGAGUUCCAGACAGUGCCCUCCUCGGUCUUUCUCAUACACGCAAUCCCAUACGGUUACAUGCACACAGCCUAAUAGAGCCACUCAUUUGUACACAUGCAGCCUCAGGGUACCCCAGUCUCACACACAGCCAUAGCCAACUCAUAGCGACGCAUAGAUGCGCGCACACACAUUACACAUGCACGCAGUGCCACAGCGCCACACUGCACCUUUUCGUCCCCUGGACCUGCUCUCAAGGCCUCCACGGAGAACUCCCUCCUCCACGGCCCUCCUAUAUGCCCUGCUUUGCAACCAGAUGUUCCGUGGGCAGACCCCUCUGUGGGCUGACAGGUGGUGAUUACUGUCGCCAGCCCCACAUUAGGAGAGAAUUGAAUGGGAGAGGCCCCCACCCGCCUCAGGCUCCCUACAAUAGCGCCUUUGUGAUGUGCCUUGCUGCCUUUCUUUCCUCUUCCUCACCAACCUACGUCAGGAGCAGCUCUGCCUGUGGAGAGAAGAAAGACAGACAAAAGGAGGAGUGCUGACUGAUCCACCCCAUCCUGGGGUGGAAGGAGGGAGGGCUCUACUUGGGAGAGAAGGCUGUGUUCCUGUCCCCCUUCCUCCCCGGGUAAUAACCCCGAGGGCUGCCUGAGACACUGUGGCAGCAGGAAAAUCGGAGCGGCUCAGACCAAGGAUUGUGCAACCCAGACCCAGGAAGAGUCAGUGCUGGAGGUGGGAGCGAGGACCUGGGCUCAGAGACAGAAUCCUCUUCAGAGAGCCCUGACAACUAGCUGCACCUAUAGACGUGGAAUCAUCCCGGGCGGUCGAGAAGAGAAACAAGUCCCUCACCUCUAAGGCAGCUAGUCGGCGUUCCAUGUACUCCACAAGGUGGUGCUGCUGUCCCUGAAGGGGUCCCGGCCAUGACAAAAGGAAGAAGAGGAGCAGAGGAGCACUGGGCCCCAUGGCAGCCUUAAGCAUGUACAUGUAACACAGGUACCUGUGGAGACCAGAAAAGGGCAUCACAUCUUCCAGAGCUGAGUUACUGACCGGAGACCGAGCUACCUGACUGGUUGCUGAGCACUGAGCUGGCUCCUCUCCUGAGAGAGCAGUACACUCUAACCACUGAGCCUUCUCUCCAGCUCCUACCCAGCUAAAGCUGCAGGAGAGUUAGGCAGAACAGAUAUCAAGAGAAGUCAGACAGCAUUUACUCAGGAUCUGCUGUGAUUAAUCUAGACAAGUUGCUGUUUCUUUUUCAGAAGAAAAUUUUGUGCACUUUGGAAUCAAGAAAAAUUGAAUCAGAGGUCCCCCUUGUUUUUAAAGACUUCGUUUAUGUGUCUGUGUGGAUAUGCAUGUUCAUGCCCACAUAGGCCAGAGCCCUGCAGCUGGAGUUAUAAAUCACUUGUGAGAGGUCUGAUUGGGGGCUGGAAUGGAGCCCAGACCCUCCACAAGAGCAGCAAGUGCAUUACCACAGAGCCAUCUCUCAAGGCUCAGAUUCUUCUUUAAAGAGGUGACAGCUCUAAGAGGGCCAAAGGAGAGAAACAAAAACAUCUUCCUGUAAGUUUCAUCUCCACUGUGCUGAUUUGAAUGUUUGGUGUCACAAGCUAGGAAAUGAAGUUAAUUUGUUUAUCUCCGGCCAUUCUUUCCAAGGGGUCAGAGGCAGGAGUCCAGCAUCCUCGGAGACAUCUCGGGAAGUACUUCCUACAAAACUGUAUUCAUUUCCAUUAUGAAGAUGCAGACAAGGUGUUCUAACGUGACAGUGUUCUCCUCGAGUUCAAACAGAGUGUUUAGCCAUUUAUUGGUCCCCUUUAUGCUCCAACACAGAAUUAAAAACAGCCACAGUCAGAAAA